UACGUAGGGUGCAAGCGUUAAUCGGAAUUACUGGGCGUAAAGCGUGCGCAGGCGGUUUUGUAAGUCUGACGUGAAAUCCCCGGGCUCAACCUGGGAAUUGCGUUGGAGACUGCAAGGCUAAAAUCUGGCAGAGGGGGGUAGAAUUCCACGUGUAGCAGUGAAAUGCGUAGAGAUGUGGAGGAACACCGAUGGCGAAGGCAGCCCCCUGGGUCAAGAUUGACGCUCAUGCACGAAAGCGUGGGGAGCGAACAGG
This 253-nucleotide ribosomal RNA is filed under the name uncultured bacterium. RNAcentral's name for it is "partial 16S ribosomal RNA". It matches the Rfam family "Bacterial small subunit ribosomal RNA", at positions 524 to 776 of the family's 1533-position model. The record is from RNAcentral.